UCACUGAUACCUGAGUUGGUAAAGAACUUGCCUGCAAUGCAGGAGACCCCAGUUUGAUUCCUGGGUCAGGAA
Molecule: transfer RNA, 72 nt
Filed under: Bos taurus (domestic cattle)
Lineage: Eukaryota; Metazoa; Chordata; Mammalia; Artiodactyla; Bovidae
Also listed under: 2 other names
Rfam family: tRNA
About the family: Transfer RNA (tRNA) molecules are approximately 80 nucleotides in length. Their secondary structure includes four short double-helical elements and three loops (D, anti-codon, and T loops).
Source: Rfam by way of RNAcentral